Molecule: ribosomal RNA, 760 nt
Filed under: uncultured bacterium
Lineage: Bacteria
Description: bacterial SSU rRNA
Rfam family: Bacterial small subunit ribosomal RNA
Source: RNAcentral
AUUCCAAGCUUGAGUUUGAUCCUGGCUCAGGAUGAACGCUGGCGGCGUGCCUAAUACAUGCAAGUCGAGCGAGGUUCUUCGGAACCUAGCGGCGGACGGGUGAGUAACACGUGGGUAACCUGCCUGUAAGACUGGGAUAACUUCGGGAAACCGAAGCUAAUACCGGAUACUUUCGAGCAUCGCAUGAUGCUUGAUGGAAAGACGGCUUCGGCUGUCACUUACAGAUGGACCCGCGUCGCAUUAGCUAGUUGGUGAGGUAACGGCUCACCAAGGCGACGAUGCGUAGCCGACCUGAGAGGGUGAUCGGCCACACUGGGACUGAGACACGGCCCAGACUCCUACGGGAGGCAGCAGUAGGGAAUCUUCGGCAAUGGGCGAAAGCCUGACCGAGCAACGCCGCGUGAGCGAUGAAGGCCUUCGGGUCGUAAAGCUCUGUUGUUAAGGAAGAACAAGUACGAGAGUAACUGCUCGUACCUUGACGGUACUUAACGAGAAAGCCACGGCUAACUACGUGCCAGCAGCCGCGGUAAUACGUAGGUGGCGAGCGUUAUCCGGAAUUAUUGGGCGUAAAGCGCGCGCAGGCGGUUUCUUAAGUCUGAUGUGAAAGCCCACGGCUCAACCGUGGAGGGUCAUUGGAAACUGGGAAACCUGAGUGCAGAAGAGGAAAGCGGAAUUCCACGUGUAGCGGUGAAAUGCGUAGAGAUGUGGAGGAACACCAGUGGCGAAGGCGGCUUUCUGGUCUGUAACUACCGCUAGGCGC